RNAcentral lists this ribosomal RNA (2125 nucleotides) under Salmonella enterica. RNAcentral's name for it is "partial 23S ribosomal RNA". It matches the Rfam family "Bacterial large subunit ribosomal RNA", at positions 1 to 2141 of the family's 2925-position model. The record is from RNAcentral. Lineage: Bacteria; Pseudomonadati; Pseudomonadota; Gammaproteobacteria; Enterobacterales; Enterobacteriaceae.
GGGUUGUGAGGUUAAGCGACUAAGCGUACACGGUGGAUGCCCUGGCAGUCAGAGGCGAUGAAGGGCGUGCUAAUCUGCGAUAAGCGCCGGUAAGGUGAUAUGAACCGUUAUAACCGGCGAUACCCGAAUGGGGAAACCCAGUGUGAUUCGUCACACUAUCAUUACGUGAAUACAUAGCGUAAUGAAGCGAACCGGGGGAACUGAAACAUCUAAGUACCCCGAGGAAAAGAAAUCAACCGAGAUUCCCCCAGUAGCGGCGAGCGAACGGGGAGGAGCCCAGAGCCUGAAUCAGCAUGUGUGUUAGUGGAAGCGUCUGGAAAGGCGCGCGAUACAGGGUGACAGCCCCGUACACAAAAGCGCAUGUGUUGUGAGCUCGAUGAGUAGGGCGGGACACGUGGUAUCCUGUCUGAAUAUGGGGGGACCAUCCUCCAAGGCUAAAUACUCCUGACUGACCGAUAGUGAACCAGUACCGUGAGGGAAAGGCGAAAAGAACCCCGGCGAGGGGAGUGAAAAAGAACCUGAAACCGUGUACGUACAAGCAGUGGGAGCACCCUUUGGGGUGUGACUGCGUACCUUUUGUAUAAUGGGUCAGCGACUUAUAUUCUGUAGCAAGGUUAACCGUAUAGGGGAGCCGUAGGGAAACCGAGUCUUAACCGGGCGUUAAGUUGCAGGGUAUAGACCCGAAACCCGGUGAUCUAGCCAUGGGCAGGUUGAAGGUUGGGUAACACUAACUGGAGGACCGAACCGACUAAUGUUGAAAAAUUAGCGGAUGACCUGUGGCUGGGGGUGAAAGGCCAAUCAAACCGGGAGAUAGCUGGUUCUCCCCGAAAGCUAUUUAGGUAGCGCCUCGUGAAUUCAUCUCCGGGGGUAGAGCACUGUUUCGGCUAGGGGGCCAUCCCGGCUUACCAACCCGAUGCAAACUGCGAAUACCGGAGAAUGUUAUCACGGGAGACACACGGCGGGUGCUAACGUCCGUCGUGAAGAGGGAAACAACCCAGACCGCCAGCUAAGGUCCCAAAGUCAUGGUUAAGUGGGAAACGAUGUGGGAAGGCCCAGACAGCCAGGAUGUUGGCUUAGAAGCAGCCAUCAUUUAAAGAAAGCGUAAUAGCUCACUGGUCGAGUCGGCCUGCGCGGAAGAUGUAACGGGGCUAAACUAUGCACCGAAGCUGCGGCAGCGACACUAUGUGUUGUUGGGUAGGGGAGCGUUCUGUAAGCCUGUGAAGGUGUGUCGUGAGGCAUGCUGGAGGUAUCAGAAGUGCGAAUGCUGACAUAAGUAACGAUAAAGCGGGUGAAAAGCCCGCUCGCCGGAAGACCAAGGGUUCCUGUCCAACGUUAAUCGGGGCAGGGUGAGUCGACCCCUAAGGCGAGGCCGAAAGGCGUAGUCGAUGGGAAACGGGUUAAUAUUCCCGUACUUGGUGUUACUGCGAAGGGGGGACGGAGAAGGCUAUGUUGGCCGGGCGACGGUUGUCCCGGUUUAAGCGUGUAGGUGUGUGUUCCAGGUAAAUCCGGUUCACUUUAACACUGAGGCGUGACGACGAGGCACUACGGUGCUGAAGCAACAAAUGCCCUGCUUCCAGGAAAAGCCUCUAAGCAUCAGGUAACAUCAAAUCGUACCCCAAACCGACACAGGUGGUCAGGUAGAGAAUACCAAGGCGCUUGAGAGAACUCGGGUGAAGGAACUAGGCAAAAUGGUGCCGUAACUUCGGGAGAAGGCACGCUGACACGUAGGUGAAGUGAUUUACUCAUGGAGCUGAAGUCAGUCGAAGAUACCAGCUGGCUGCAACUGUUUAUUAAAAACACAGCACUGUGCAAACACGAAAGUGGACGUAUACGGUGUGACGCCUGCCCGGUGCCGGAAGGUUAAUUGAUGGGGUCAGCGCAAGCGAAGCUCCUGAUCGAAGCCCCGGUAAACGGCGGCCGUAACUAUAACGGUCCUAAGGUAGCGAAAUUCCUUGUCGGGUAAGUUCCGACCUGCACGAAUGGCGUAAUGAUGGCCAGGCUGUCUCCACCCGAGACUCAGUGAAAUUGAACUCGCUGUGAAGAUGCAGUGUACCCGCGGCAAGACGGAAAGACCCCGUGAACCUUUACUAUAGCUUGACACUGAACAUUGAGCCUUGAUGUGUAG